RNAcentral lists this long non-coding RNA (1076 nucleotides) under Mus musculus (house mouse). RNAcentral's name for it is "RIKEN cDNA 1700100I10 gene, transcript variant 2 (1700100I10Rik)". The record is from RNAcentral. Lineage: Eukaryota; Metazoa; Chordata; Mammalia; Rodentia; Muridae.
GGUGUGACUGAGAGGGAGAAGAAAUUGCUGGGCGUCCAUGGGCAGGGGAGGAUGAGCGGGAAGCAGCAGAGAAGAUGGUGUAGUGCCCAUUGGAUGGAAAAUUGUGGCUGUUUUGAUGGUUAGAGGUUUUAAUAAACGAAGAGACCAGGUGACCUUGCGAACAUACAAGAAGGCAUGCUGUCGUCCAUGAUUAUACAUCAAAAGAGGGCAUCCAAAGCCUCGACACCAUGUGGUUGCUGGGAAUUGAACUCAGGACCUCUGUAGGAGCGACAGGGUCUCUCAUUGUAGCCCUGGAUGUCCUGGAACUCAGGGUGGCCUUGAACUUACAGAGAUCCAACUGCAUUUUGAGUGCUGAGAUUAAAGGUAUUUGAGCAUCUAUUUCCUAGUUGAAAACCCAGUAGCCUCCUCACCAGCUUCAGCAUCCAGAUAUGAUGUGCUUGCAUUCUUCUGGUCUUCUUGUAGCCUGAACUCAUUCCACCUCCCCACAACGCCAACAUUUCACUUCUUUUAUUUGGAGGAGGACGUUUGGAAGUUGUGUUUCUGGAAAUGUUUUGUAUUUAUUUUCCCAGUAAACUUAAGAAAACUUAAAAGUAAUUAAAUGUUUUUUUCCUUUUGAAAAGACAGAAUCUUAAAACACUUGGAGUAUGUCUUCUUUCAAAUGUACAUGUCAAUGGUGCCUAAUAUUUUUUGUUUCCUUACAUUUUUGUUUUGUUUUGUUUGGUUUGGUUUGGUUUGGUUUGGUUUCCCAAGACAGGGUUUCUCUGUGUAGCCCUGGCUGUCCUGGAACUCACUUGGUAGACCAGGCUGUCCUCAACCUCAGAAAUCUGCCUGCCUCUGCCUCCCGAGUGCUGGGAUUAAAGGCAUGCGCCACCAAUGCCCAGCUGUUUCCUUACAUUUUUAAAGUUACAAAUUAGCUCUGUUAUUAUAUUAUACACUCAAUACUGCUGAGAUUUGAAAAAAAAUCAAGCAUACUUUUCUUGUAGUCAGAUAUUCACUCUUGGACUGUUUCUAUGCCAAAUAUAAACUACAUCUUCUGGUUAUAAAUAAGUUUUGAUUAAAAAAACAAUAACAAACAA